Molecule: ribosomal RNA, 450 nt
Filed under: uncultured bacterium
Lineage: Bacteria
Description: partial 16S ribosomal RNA
Rfam family: Bacterial small subunit ribosomal RNA
Source: RNAcentral
GUGGGGAAUUUUGGACAAUGGGCGCAAGCCUGAUCCAGCAAUGCCGCGUGCAGGAAGAAGGCCUUCGGGUUGUAAACUGCUUUUGUACGGAACGAAACGGCUCUGGUUAAUACCCGGGGCUAAUGACGGUACCGUAAGAAUAAGCACCGGCUAACUACGUGCCAGCAGCCGCGGUAAUACGUAGGGUGCAAGCGUUAAUCGGAAUUACUGGGCGUAAAGCGUGCGCAGGCGGGUUUGUAAGACAGGCGUGAAAUCCCCGGGCUCAACCUGGGAAUGGCGCUUGUGACUGCAAAGCUGGAGUGCGGCAGAGGGGGAUGGAAUUCCGCGUGUAGCAGUGAAAUGCGUAGAUAUGCGGAGGAACACCGAUGGCGAAGGCAAUCCCCUGGGCCUGCACUGACGCUCAUGCACGAAAGCGUGGGGAGCAAACAGGAUUAGAUACCCCUGUAGUCC